UCAUCAUCUGUGGAAAAAAAAACGUUAAGUCCGAAAUGCAACCAGUCUCACAUUUCUUUAUUCGAAACUAAAAGAGGGAGAUGAGAAUUGCACUCGAGCGAACAUUUUAAAGUUUGCAACACUGUCCUAAACGGCUGUUUCGUAUUGUUGUAGGAGUAGUCAAGUGUACAGCUCAACCAAGCAAGUGUGUACCUUUCACCAUGGGAAGAUGGAAAUGCCUAACGAUCUUAGCGGACUUUUCUAGCGAAACAGUGUACGAGAGUGCACGACAAUUUUUUCGUCGAAAAUCUAACGGUAUUUCUUUCUCUGAAUAUUUUUUAAAUCGACAAUAGGUCGUAAUAACUGUGGCAGUAUUUUUGCUUUCUGAUUUGUAAGAAUCAACGCGUGCUGUGUAUCUGAAAGCAUAGCAUACAGCUUUGCUUAGUGAGGAAAUCAAAUUUUUCCAGCAGUGUUCCACAUGCUGUUUAUUAAUGACAAUUUUUUUUUACGUACGGAUUAUAUCGUUAAUUGUAACAAGCGUGUUGAUAAACUUUGAAUUUAAUUUAUAUACAAGAAGAGUAAUAUGCAUCCUUUAGCCAAAAGCCGUUUAAGGAAGAUUGAUAUGAAAACAUGGUUAACCGGAUAUUUGUCAAAUUACAAUUGUUUUUGCCAACUUUAACUGCAAAAUUGAGGUAGAACAAACACUUGUCCCUGAUCCUUUUUUAAGAGAUUUUCAAUCCCUAUUGAUACUUUUCAUUGCUUUUUAUUCGUGUAUUCAAUUUAUCUUAAAAUUUUGUGUUGUCUUUUUCCACUCUUUGUUGUUCAAUUGCUUCUACUGCUGGCAGCUUGAACCCAAAUCAUUUGAUUUCGAUAAAUAAUAUUAAUUAUUUUGAAUUGAAACACUACAUAAAUCUAUAUUCUAUUGUACGUUUCACAUCAAAGUGAUAAACGACGGCAAAAAUUACUUGUAUCUAAUUAGACGUUUAUUACCUAUAAAUCCCAAUUGAAUCAAAUAAAAUAAAUAUUGUCAGAGGGAAAUGUCUUCCCCUAAAGCGAUGGGGACCGCACCCUCAUCCGCGGGGCAUGAACGGGCAUUUUUCAACCACUAAGUUGACUGCCCCACUUUGAAACUUUCCGGUUUGGAAAUUAGAUCAGCAUUUGUUAAACAAUUCAAAUGGAAGCUGAAUUGUUAUCCAUGCACAAGGAAAAUUAAAAAAGAAACACGCCGUAUAACAACCAGUUGUUUGUCGCUGACUCUUCACGCAAUAUUUCAACAAUCAAUUUUCCUUCGUUGCUCUACUCGCAAACAGCGAAACAAACCAAAAACCAAAAUAAUUUGGGAUUUUUGAACUUUCUUUAUCCAGGAUUUACUACAGUCAGGACAGAAAAUUUCUUUGAACAAGUAAAGUAUAGUCUAAUGGAACACAUUUGAAGGAAACUUUGGAAUAGUUAAUUCUUAUAAUAACACAUCGAACAUGCGUUACUGGUAAACAACUAAUAUUCACUCGAGUAUCAAGGACCUAAAUCCAAAAGGAAACACACCAAGCAUAGAGUGAAACGCCAUUUUACUUACUUUUAAUAUUAAGAAUCCGGCUAAGAUGUGUAACAACAGUGUUCAGGAGAGAGAAACCUGCUCCGUGCUGAACGCGAGAAUAUUGGGAACCAAACUGAACCUCAUUUCACCAGGUUAUGGCAGCUUAGACGCCAGGGAAAGGAGGCCGACCCUUACGAACCGCUAUCAACCACUGGAAAGGACGAAAGGACGAUUUUUUUUCUUCUUCUUCUUCUUUUUCUUUUUUCUUGUCAUUAAUUCGAUUUCUUCGCUUUGCUCUUUCCAGUACAUUUACUUUGGAGAAAGCAGUAUGAAAAGAAAGGAAACGUUUCUCACUGUUCUACUAUUCGUGCUCAUCAGGAAUCAACCUCAAUAUCCAUCAUUCGUUAAAGAAUCACUAAGCCUUUGGCUGUAAAGGUAGGUCGGCUUAGAUGCGAGAUUGAUGGAAGCACGAAAUAUUACCGUUGCUAUUACAACAUCCAUACAGAAGUCUAAAAUAUCGAACGAAACAAUCUGAAUUUAUCCGCCAAAGACGUCUUCUAAACUUCACUUUCAUCUUUAACGUUUUGGGUCGACAGGCCAUAUUUAAAAAAUCUCGUGAAUAUUCACUUGCAAUCCGUUGAUGGACUCACCUGAAACUUCUCUAGGACGUCCUUUGGAGUGAAAUACAUUCCAAAAC
Molecule: long non-coding RNA, 2210 nt
Filed under: Daphnia magna
Lineage: Eukaryota; Metazoa; Arthropoda; Branchiopoda; Diplostraca; Daphniidae
Description: uncharacterized LOC123475804, transcript variant X2
Source: RNAcentral